RNAcentral lists this ribosomal RNA (498 nucleotides) under uncultured bacterium. RNAcentral's name for it is "partial 16S ribosomal RNA". It matches the Rfam family "Bacterial small subunit ribosomal RNA", at positions 28 to 523 of the family's 1533-position model. The record is from RNAcentral.
GAUGAACGCUAGCUACAGGCUUAACACAUGCAAGUCGAGGGGUAGCAGGGUAGCAAUACCGCUGACGACCGGCGCACGGGUGAGUAACACGUAUCCAACCUUCCCAUAACUCUGGGAUAGCCUUUCGAAAGAAAGAUUAAUACCGGAUGGUACUUUUUCAAGGCAUCUUGAGAAAGUUAAAGAUUUAUUGGUUAUGGAUGGGGAUGCGUUCCAUUAGAUAGUUGGUGAGGUAACGGCUCACCAAGUCUUCGAUGGAUAGGGGUUCUGAGAGGAAGGUCCCCCACAUUGGUACUGAGACACGGACCAAACUCCUACGGGAGGCAGCAGUGAGGAAUAUUGGUCAAUGGGCGAGAGCCUCAACCAGCCAAGUAGCGUGAAGGAUGAAGGUCCUAUGGAUUGUAAACUUCUUUUAUAGUAGAAUAAAGUGAUCCACGUGUGGAUUUUUGUAUGUAUACUAUGAAUAAGGAUCGGCUAACUCCGUGCCAGCCGCCGCGGUAA